AUCACCUUGUGGGGCACCAUUCCCGUAAAGGGAAAAAUGAUAGCCAGUUAAAGAUAUCAGUCUCAUAAAAUACGCUAAACUAUUAAUUUGGAGUUUGAUUAAUAAUUAAAUUAAUGACAACAACCAAAAUUAACAGUAACGCCUGAAGGAUUUCGGAGUUCUUGACGCAGCAGAGGUUGACUAUUCAUUCACCCUUGUGCAACAUUAAACAGACAGCAGGUAUGAUUCCAAAGAGUUAUAUUUAUUCACAAAUUAGCAAAGCAAACCAAAACACACAAAUUCUAACUAACUAUAUACAACCUUGGUGUGUGUGUGUGUGUGUGUGUGUGUGUAUGUGUCUGAGAGAAAAGAGAAAGACAAAGGCGGGUGUGGUGAUCAAGUAGCCGUUUGGCCUACAAAACAAAAUGGCUGACAACAGAGAACUACCAAAAUGGCUGAAUCAAGGCUGGCUUCCGGUUGGGGGAGGUGUCUGUCUGACUGUGUGGUCAGGAAAAAGACAAAGGAAAAGAAGCGGGAACUUUGAGAUGCCUGUUUGGGUGUAGCUCUGUUGAAAGCCUAUUUAUUAAUGAGUCUAUGUCAAUGUGACGUGUGUUGCAAACGGUCUGAAUUAGUGCAGAGACUGUUUAGUUGCACGCAAGAAUCUGUUUGUGAACAGUAUUAGCAAACUAAACACUUAGCUGUGGUGAUGCCAACUAAUCAAUGACCUAACUGCAAUCUAUCACAACAAUAACUCAGUAAACAGCAUCAAAGCACGUACAACAAGUCAAACAGUCUUGCUUAGCCUGUAAAGCUGUGAUAAGCUAUGCCCAGUUGUUACGAGAGCACUGCUCUACGGUUGGAGCAAAAGAGGAAGUUCUGUGGAAGGGAGCAGAUCUUGUACAAAAAGCCUGUGACAUCACAGAGUCACAUGUCACUGAAAAAGUUCUGUCCAAUCAAGUUGUGAGACUUGGGUCUCACUGAGGUGUGAGGUGAGACCUCCUGUGGAGAUGGGUGUCACCUAGCUGUCUUUGUUUGGAGAACAAAGAGCAUGCAGAGGAAAAAGCCUUUAAUUCUACAGUUUAGAUUUUACCAAAUGAUAAAUCAUCUGUGGUCCUGUGAAUCCCAACACAUGGCUCAGAAAUGAUAGAGCUUACAAAACCUGAAGCAUAGCAGGUAACAACGAACUCUGCAUAAUGAUAAAAAACA
Molecule: long non-coding RNA, 1185 nt
Organism: Epinephelus moara (kelp grouper)
Lineage: Eukaryota; Metazoa; Chordata; Actinopteri; Perciformes; Serranidae
Exons: 2
Source: RefSeq, a predicted model, not a curated record